ACACAAAACUUCAGUUUAUUCUUAGUUUCACCAUUACUAAUGAGGUAAUUUGUGUUUGCAGCUGAACGAUAUAUGUACUGCUACAGAUCACUGAACCAUUUCAAGUUACUGAGCUAGUGCUACCUGGUGAUUCAGAUAAUGGAUUGGCACUUGAGAUCUUCUGGAAAGGAUGAAGAGUCAACCUCUUCUCAAUCCCUCCAUGCCAUCCUUUUCCAUGGAUCUUCCAACUUGAAUAGAAACUCUGCACUAAAUUCCUGAGCUUUAAGGAAGGUAUUCUCAGCAUCUACAAGGUAAGCAGGUGGCAGGGAGAGGUAGCUGAUCUCUCCAGUUUAAUUCAGACCCAUCUAGC
This 349-nucleotide long non-coding RNA is filed under the name Cyanistes caeruleus (blue tit). RNAcentral describes it as "lncRNA (ENSCCEG00000002258.1)". Lineage: Eukaryota; Metazoa; Chordata; Aves; Passeriformes; Paridae. The record is from RNAcentral.